Molecule: non-coding RNA, 169 nt
Filed under: Fidelibacterota bacterium
Lineage: Bacteria; Pseudomonadati; Fidelibacterota
Description: 6S RNA
Rfam family: 6S / SsrS RNA
About the family: E. coli 6S RNA was the first non coding RNA to be sequenced, but its function was unknown until recently. It consists of 184 nucleotides that fold into an extended hairpin structure with a large single-stranded internal bulge.
Source: RNAcentral
UUUAUCCUGCAAUGGCAUAUCCUAUAUUUUUAGAACCAACACUAUAAAUAUGGGAGCUGGACUUCGGGCGUGGAAAGCAUGCCUCCUCGUCGAGGAAACUUGAGCCGUCCGAGAGGUGCCCACCGUGAUUACCACGGUUCUAAAAACGUACUGCCAUUGCAGGAUAUUU